GUCGGCGUUACCUCCGUCUCCUGGGCCCCGUCCACCGCCCCCGGCUCCCUGGUCAGCUCUGGCCAGAACGAUCUCGUCCAUAAACUAGCUUCCGGCGGUUGUGACAACACUGUCAAGGUGUGGAAGUUGUACAACGGGACGUGGAAGAUGGAUUGCUUCCCGGCGUUGCAGAUGCAUACUGAUUGGGUGAGGGAUGUGGCAUGGGCGCCGAAUCUUGGCCUGCCUAAGUCGACGAUUGCGAGUGCGUCGCAGGACGGGACUGUGGUUAUCUGGACG
This 276-nucleotide unclassified non-coding RNA is filed under the name Hevea brasiliensis (rubber tree). Lineage: Eukaryota; Viridiplantae; Streptophyta; Magnoliopsida; Malpighiales; Euphorbiaceae. The record is from RNAcentral.